This 1319-nucleotide long non-coding RNA is filed under the name Pan troglodytes (chimpanzee). RNAcentral's name for it is "long non-coding RNA NONPTRT006765". The record is from RNAcentral. Lineage: Eukaryota; Metazoa; Chordata; Mammalia; Primates; Hominidae.
AGUGGUGGCUCACGGCUGUAGUCCUUGCUACUCGGGAGGCUGAGGCAGGAGAAUUGCUUGAACCCGGGAGGCGGAGGUUGCAGUGAGCCAAGAUCAUGCCACUGCACUCCAGCCUGGUUAGCAGAGCAAGACUCCAGAUACCUUCUGGUCUGGCAAGCCCAAGCCCAGCUUAUUCACUACGGUCCUUACAGAUAACAUCCGCCCGCCUCGGCCUCCCAAAGUGCUGGGACUGCAGGCGUGAGCCACCGCGCCCGGCCGAUUCCCCCCUUUAUCCCUCAAUUUCCUCAUCUGAGCAAUGGAGAUACGGGUAGGGCUGAAGGUCAGGCAAGAAUGCGAUGAGCUGUGAGAAGCACUUGGCAAGGUGCGGGUUAUCAACCUUGCCAGGCCUCAGCACGUUUCCCAAGGAGGCCCAACCAGCGGCGCUGUGCCGCAGCACGGAAGAGGCGGGGUGAGCCGCGGGGCGGGCGGCGCUGGGACCCGGACGCCACCCGCGCGAGGCGCCGCCGUGCGCCCGUCAAUCAAGGUCGUCGUGGGGCAUGGGGCGGCGGGGCUGGGCGGUGCUUCCGCCUGCGCGAGGCCGCGCCGGGCCGCUUGGAGGCGCCCGGUGCAGUCGGGAACCCGCGCUAGGUGUCGCCGGCCGCGCGGCCAGAUGAGGGGGGCGAUGGAGCUGGAGCCUGAGCUGCUGCUGCAGGAGGCCCGCGAGAACGUGGAGGCAGCGCAGAGCUACCGGCGGGAGCUGGGUCACCGGCUUGAGGGGCUGCGGGAGGCGCGGAGGCAGGUCGGAGGGCCACACCCACAGGGGCGCUGUGGGCCCGGGGGUGGCGCGGAUGCCGGGCGAAGGCAGGGAGGGCUUUGAGGGGUGGGAGUGUCCGAAAACUCUGGAGUAGGGAAGAGGCAUUCAUUUGAAAGGAGACCUAAUGGAGUCUGGGAACGGGGAAGGUGGGAGUUGGGGAGGUCGUAAGGGGAAGUUUUGGGGGUGGAGGGAGGGUGUGAGGAGCGUUCACCAAACUGUGGGGCAGCGAUGGGAGUAGCGGUGGCGUCCGAAGUUUGGGAGAGUGAGGGACCAGAGCAGAAUCCGAGGGGGUCAUGCGGGUAGUGAUGAGUCGGGGGAGGAGGAGACUGUUUGGUAAAAAACCUGCGGUGGGUAGGCAUUGAUUUUAGAGAGCCUGAGGAAAAGGUGGGACAGUGACCUGGGAGAGCUGAAAGUGGAGACAAAAUGGAUAUUGGAAGGGGAGGACUAAGGGGCGAGAGUGAGGGAGAGGUAGGGAUUGAGAAGCAGUAGCGUUGACACUAAAUAAAUGCGGUUAAUGCCUGAAUAA